ACCUCCGUAGCUCAACGGAUAGAGCGCCCGGUUUCGGCCCGGGAGGUUCGGGGUUCAAAUCCUCGCGGGGGUGCCA
This 76-nucleotide transfer RNA is filed under the name Planctomycetota bacterium. RNAcentral describes it as "Planctomycetes bacterium (groundwater metagenome) tRNA-Arg". It matches the Rfam family "tRNA". Rfam says of the family: Transfer RNA (tRNA) molecules are approximately 80 nucleotides in length. Lineage: Bacteria; Pseudomonadati; Planctomycetota. The record is from RNAcentral.